UGGAUCAGUCUUUGUGAGCUUUAUAGCGGGUUUCAGCUGAGUUUUUGUGAAAAAUUCUCUACAACAGCUAUAGAAACUGGCCUUUACCCGUGCUCAAGGAGAAUUCAAGUCGAAAUGAAAUCAAAUAACACCAAGCGUCUUUUGCCACAGAGGAGAGAGAAGCAAAGCCAGGAUGCAACAUGAUGAUGGGUUAUCCAGCUGGUUCUUUGAAAACCUUGGGAUCUUUAUAUCAACAACUAGAUGUAAGGCAUGAAGGGACAUGUUUUCUUCAAUUGUAGACUCUGGGAUUGUCAGUAAGCAAGCACCAGGAGACAUUAUAGAGGCUCUCCAUGGCUGGAUCACUGGAAAGCCCAAGUAGUAGUAUCUAGAAUUUCAUGGCAUUUCAUACAGCCCUUCUUGCCAUGCAUCCACAGUAAACACCCACAAUAAGAACCCACUUUUUUCUGAGUUACUAUAGCCUAAACAUAUUCUUAUAUGAGAGGUGCUCAGUGAUAUUUUAGGCUAUUUACUAUAGGCUCUUCCUCUUAUAGUAGAUUCUUAUUUUUAUAUGAAGUUAUGGUAGCAUUGUCAGGCAGACUUAUUGAUGUAGAUUGUAAAAAGAGUCUUCUUAUUUUUCUUUUUUUUUCCUGACCAUCCUCAUCUCUAAAAUUAUGAACCUGCUCCAAAUGCUUGGCCUAAUAGAUUCUUAUACAAAAAUGGGGUUCUAAUUUGAACAUUUUAGGCCAACAGGUUCUUAUACACAGGUGCUCACUGCAGUUGUAAAAGUUCAAUAUGUUCUAUUUAAAAAAAGAUCUUUCUUUUUUGACCCUCACCUUGUGGCAUUUAUUUAUUUAGUAAUGCUCAUUUAGUUAUUUUUUUAUCGAAUGUUUUUAGAGAAACUCAGCGAUUUUACUAAGUAGAAGUUGUAUUGCACAGUACCUUUUAUAUGAAAAUUAUAUUAUUGUUACUAGAAAUGAGAGGGUUAUUAGGUAUUCUUUUACGUUCCAAUUGUUUAUGCGAGUACCCGGGGUUCCAGAGGCUGAAUAUCCGCUUUUCCCAGCAUGCUAGGGGGCGGGAGAAUCGAAAAAUCUCGCUUCGCUCGAAAAACUCUCGGAGCCUCUGGUCUCCAGGGUAUUAUGCGAGUUAAAAUAGUUUAAAUACUUAUUUAUUUGAGAGCGAUUACAAGUUGUUAUUUAAUAUGAACGAUUAUAAUGACAUGCUGUUUAUUUAAAGUAUAUAGGAUUUUAAGCAGGGAACGUUUACAAGAAACUAUUUAGUGCUAUGUAAAAUUACGAUACGAUGUGACAUGUUAAAUAAAUUUGUAUUUUAUUAACA
Long non-coding RNA from Nematostella vectensis (starlet sea anemone), 1314 nucleotides. RefSeq lists it as uncharacterized. The transcript is spliced from 2 exons. The record is from RefSeq and is a predicted model, not a curated record. NCBI's taxonomy places the organism in Eukaryota, Metazoa, Cnidaria, Anthozoa, Actiniaria, Edwardsiidae.